Molecule: ribosomal RNA, 446 nt
Filed under: uncultured bacterium
Lineage: Bacteria
Description: partial 16S ribosomal RNA
Rfam family: Bacterial small subunit ribosomal RNA
Source: RNAcentral
CCUACGGGAGGCAGCAGUCGAGAAUCAUUCACAAUGGGGGAAACCCUGAUGGGGCGACGCCGCGUGGGGGAAUGAAGGUCUGCGGAUUGUAAACUCCUGUCAUGUGGGAGCAAAUUAAAAAGAUAGUACCACAAGAGGAAGAGACGGCUAACUCUGUGCCAGCAGCCGCGGUAAUACAGAGGUCUCAAGCGUUGUUCGGAAUCACUGGGCGUAAAGCGUGCGUAGGCUGUUUCGUAAGUCGUGUGUGAAAGGCGCGGGCUCAACCCGCGGACGGCACAUGAUACUGCGAGACUAGAGUAAUGGAGGGGGAACCGGAAUUCUCGGUGUAGCGGUGAAAUGCGUAGAUAUCGGGAGGAACACUCGUGGCGAAGGCGGGUUCCUGGACAUUAACUGACGCUGAGGCACGAAGGCCAGGGGAGCGAAAAGGAUUAGAUACCCGGGUAGUC